Molecule: transfer RNA, 73 nt
Filed under: Bos taurus (domestic cattle)
Lineage: Eukaryota; Metazoa; Chordata; Mammalia; Artiodactyla; Bovidae
Rfam family: tRNA
About the family: Transfer RNA (tRNA) molecules are approximately 80 nucleotides in length.
Source: Rfam by way of RNAcentral
UCCCUGGUGGCUCAGAUGGUAAAAGAGUCUGCCUACAAUGCAGGAGACCCGGGUUCGAUUCCUGGGUCGGGAA